RNAcentral lists this ribosomal RNA (85 nucleotides) under Bacillus licheniformis. RNAcentral also lists the same sequence under 2 other names. The record is from RNAcentral. Lineage: Bacteria; Bacillati; Bacillota; Bacilli; Caryophanales; Bacillaceae.
UUCCCAUGCCGAACACGGAAGUUAAGCUCUUCAGCGCCGAUGGUAGUUGGGGGCUUCCCCCUGUGAGAGUAGGACGCCGCCAAGC